This 311-nucleotide unclassified non-coding RNA is filed under the name Hevea brasiliensis (rubber tree). The record is from RNAcentral. Lineage: Eukaryota; Viridiplantae; Streptophyta; Magnoliopsida; Malpighiales; Euphorbiaceae.
UCAACCCCAGCAUUCGGCACACCUUCGUCGACCCCAGCAUUCGGCACACCUUCAUCAACCCCAGCAUUCGGCACGCCGUCAACUUCAUCAUUUGGCACUGGUUUUGGAUCGACACUAUUUUCAACACCAUUUUCACAGCAAUCACAGCCACAUCAACAGCAACAAACUUCCUUAUUUCAAACACCUCAGAGUUCGUCCCCUUUCAGCUUUUCCACACCCUUGAAUACUGCAACACUGGCCCAAUCCAGUCCAUUUGGUACUUCCUUUCCAUUUGCAAAUGCCCAGUUGACUACUCAGAUGGCUCCCGUGGC